GGAGAGAUAUCGAAGUGGUCAUAACGAGCCGCACUCGAAAUGCGGUCGUCCUUUACUGGGCGCGUGGGUUCGAAUCCCACUCUCUCCG
Molecule: transfer RNA, 88 nt
Filed under: Lachnospiraceae bacterium
Lineage: Bacteria; Bacillati; Bacillota; Clostridia; Lachnospirales; Lachnospiraceae
Description: tRNA-Ser
Rfam family: tRNA
About the family: Transfer RNA (tRNA) molecules are approximately 80 nucleotides in length. Their secondary structure includes four short double-helical elements and three loops (D, anti-codon, and T loops). Further hydrogen bonds mediate the characteristic L-shaped molecular structure. tRNAs have two regions of fundamental functional importance: the anti-codon, which is responsible for specific mRNA codon recognition, and the 3' end, to which the tRNAs corresponding amino acid is attached (by aminoacyl-tRNA synthetases). tRNAs cope with the degeneracy of the genetic code in two manners: having more than one tRNA (with a specific anti-codon) for a particular amino acid; and 'wobble' base-pairing, i.e. permitting non-standard base-pairing at the 3rd anti-codon position.
Source: RNAcentral